This 514-nucleotide ribosomal RNA is filed under the name uncultured bacterium. Its description in RNAcentral is "bacterial SSU rRNA". It matches the Rfam family "Bacterial small subunit ribosomal RNA", at positions 16 to 518 of the family's 1533-position model. The record is from RNAcentral.
AUCCUGGCUCAGGAUGAACGCUAGCUACAGGCUUAACACAUGCAAGUCGAGGGGCAGCAGGAUCUUAGCUUGCUAAGAUUGCUGGCGACCGGCGCACGGGUGAGUAACGCGUAUCCAACCUUCCCCUUAGUAGGGCAUAGCCCGAUGAAAAUCGGAUUAAUACCCUAUGCUUUCCAAUGAGGACAUCUGAGCUGGAACAAAGAUUCAUCGCUAAGGGAUGGGGAUGCGUCCGAUUAGGUAGUCGGCGGGGUAACGGCCCACCGAGCCAUCGAUCGGUAGGGGUUCUGAGAGGAAGGUCCCCCACAUUGGAACUGAGACACGGUCCAAACUCCUACGGGAGGCAGCAGUGAGGAAUAUUGGUCAAUGGGCGAGAGCCUGAACCAGCCAAGUAGCGUGCAGGAAUGACGGCCCUAUGGGUUGUAAACUGCUUUUAUGCGGGGAUAAAGUGUGCCACGUGUGGCGUUUUGUAGGUACCGCAUGAAUAAGGACCGGCUAAUUCCGUGCCAGCAGCAGC